GCCCCUGUGGUGAAACUGGUAGACGCGCCGGACUCAAAAUCCGGUUCCGCAAGGAGUGUCGGUUCGAGCCCGACCGGGGGCACCA
This 85-nucleotide transfer RNA is filed under the name Phenylobacterium sp. Its description in RNAcentral is "tRNA-Leu". It matches the Rfam family "tRNA". Rfam says of the family: Transfer RNA (tRNA) molecules are approximately 80 nucleotides in length. Their secondary structure includes four short double-helical elements and three loops (D, anti-codon, and T loops). Further hydrogen bonds mediate the characteristic L-shaped molecular structure. tRNAs have two regions of fundamental functional importance: the anti-codon, which is responsible for specific mRNA codon recognition, and the 3' end, to which the tRNAs corresponding amino acid is attached (by aminoacyl-tRNA synthetases). tRNAs cope with the degeneracy of the genetic code in two manners: having more than one tRNA (with a specific anti-codon) for a particular amino acid; and 'wobble' base-pairing, i.e. permitting non-standard base-pairing at the 3rd anti-codon position. Lineage: Bacteria; Pseudomonadati; Pseudomonadota; Alphaproteobacteria; Caulobacterales; Caulobacteraceae. The record is from RNAcentral.